UACGAAGGGGGGCUAGCGUUGCUCGGAAUCACUGGGCGUAAAGGGUGCGUAGGCGGGUCUUUUAAGUCAGGGGUGAAAUCCUGGAGCUCAACUCCAGAACUGCCUUUGAUACUGAAGAUCUUGAGUUCGGGAGAGGUGAGUGGAACUGCGAGUGUAGAGGUGAAAUUCGUAGAUAUUCGCAAGAACACCAGUGGCGAAGGCGCUCACUGGCCCGAUACUGACGCUGAGGCACGAAAGCGUGGGGAGCAACAGG
RNAcentral lists this ribosomal RNA (253 nucleotides) under uncultured bacterium. RNAcentral's name for it is "partial 16S ribosomal RNA". It matches the Rfam family "Bacterial small subunit ribosomal RNA", at positions 524 to 775 of the family's 1533-position model. The record is from RNAcentral.